This 498-nucleotide ribosomal RNA is filed under the name uncultured bacterium. Its description in RNAcentral is "partial 16S ribosomal RNA". It matches the Rfam family "Bacterial small subunit ribosomal RNA", at positions 30 to 523 of the family's 1533-position model. The record is from RNAcentral.
AUUGAACGCUGGCGGCAUGCCUUACACAUGCAAGUCGAGCGGUAACAGGUCUUCGGAUGCUGACGAGUGGCGAACGGGUGAGUAAUACAUCGGAACGUGCCCGAGAUUGGGGGAUAACGCAGCGAAAGCUUUGCUAAUACCGCAUACGAUCUCAGGAUGAAAGCAGGGGACCGCAAGGCCUUGCGCUCACGGAGCGGCCGAUGGCAGAUUAGGUAGUUGGUGGGAUAAAAGCUUACCAAGCCGACGAUCUGUAGCUGGUCUGAGAGGACGACCAGCCACACUGGGACUGAGACACGGCCCAGACUCCUACGGGAGGCAGCAGUGGGGAAUUUUGGACAAUGGGCGCAAGCCUGAUCCAGCCAUGCCGCGUGCAGGAUGAAGGCCUUCGGGUUGUAAACUGCUUUUGUACGGAACGAAAAGACUCUGGUUAAUACCUGGGGUCCAUGACGGUACCGUAAGAAUAAGCACCGGCUAACUACGUGCCAGCCGCCGCAGUAA